RNAcentral lists this ribosomal RNA (2184 nucleotides) under Staphylococcus aureus VET1831R. RNAcentral describes it as "bacterial LSU rRNA". It matches the Rfam family "Bacterial large subunit ribosomal RNA", at positions 3 to 2185 of the family's 2925-position model. Lineage: Bacteria; Bacillati; Bacillota; Bacilli; Caryophanales; Staphylococcaceae. The record is from RNAcentral.
UUAAGUUAUUAAGGGCGCACGGUGGAUGCCUUGGCACUAGAAGCCGAUGAAGGACGUUACUAACGACGAUAUGCUUUGGGGAGCUGUAAGUAAGCUUUGAUCCAGAGAUUUCCGAAUGGGGAAACCCAGCAUGAGUUAUGUCAUGUUAUCGAUAUGUGAAUACAUAGCAUAUCAGAAGGCACACCCGGAGAACUGAAACAUCUUAGUACCCGGAGGAAGAGAAAGAAAAUUCGAUUCCCUUAGUAGCGGCGAGCGAAACGGGAAGAGCCCAAACCAACAAGCUUGCUUGUUGGGGUUGUAGGACACUCUAUACGGAGUUACAAAGGACGACAUUAGACGAAUCAUCUGGAAAGAUGAAUCAAAGAAGGUAAUAAUCCUGUAGUCGAAAAUGUUGUCUCUCUUGAGUGGAUCCUGAGUACGACGGAGCACGUGAAAUUCCGUUGGAAUCUGGGAGGACCAUCUCCUAAGGCUAAAUACUCUCUAGUGACCGAUAGUGAACCAGUACCGUGAGGGAAAGGUGAAAAGCACCCCGGAAGGGGAGUGAAAUAGAACCUGAAACCGUGUGCUUACAAGUAGUCAGAGCCCGUUAAUGGGUGAUGGCGUGCCUUUUGUAGAAUGAACCGGCGAGUUACGAUUUGAUGCAAGGUUAAGCAGUAAAUGUGGAGCCGUAGCGAAAGCGAGUCUGAAUAGGGCGUUUAGUAUUUGGUCGUAGACCCGAAACCAGGUGAUCUACCCUUGGUCAGGUUGAAGUUCAGGUAACACUGAAUGGAGGACCGAACCGACUUACGUUGAAAAGUGAGCGGAUGAACUGAGGGUAGCGGAGAAAUUCCAAUCGAACCUGGAGAUAGCUGGUUCUCUCCGAAAUAGCUUUAGGGCUAGCCUCAAGUGAUGAUUAUUGGAGGUAGAGCACUGUUUGGACGAGGGGCCCCUCUCGGGUUACCGAAUUCAGACAAACUCCGAAUGCCAAUUAAUUUAACUUGGGAGUCAGAACAUGGGUGAUAAGGUCCGUGUUCGAAAGGGAAACAGCCCAGACCACCAGCUAAGGUCCCAAAAUAUAUGUUAAGUGGAAAAGGAUGUGGCGUUGCCCAGACAACUAGGAUGUUGGCUUAGAAGCAGCCAUCAUUUAAAGAGUGCGUAAUAGCUCACUAGUCGAGUGACACUGCGCCGAAAAUGUACCGGGGCUAAACAUAUUACCGAAGCUGUGGAUUGUCCUUUGGACAAUGGUAGGAGAGCGUUCUAAGGGCGUUGAAGCAUGAUCGUAAGGACAUGUGGAGCGCUUAGAAGUGAGAAUGCCGGUGUGAGUAGCGAAAGACGGGUGAGAAUCCCGUCCACCGAUUGACUAAGGUUUCCAGAGGAAGGCUCGUCCGCUCUGGGUUAGUCGGGUCCUAAGCUGAGGCCGACAGGCGUAGGCGAUGGAUAACAGGUUGAUAUUCCUGUACCACCUAUAAUCGUUUUAAUCGAUGGGGGGACGCAGUAGGAUAGGCGAAGCGUGCGAUUGGAUUGCACGUCUAAGCAGUAAGGCUGAGUAUUAGGCAAAUCCGGUACUCAUUAAGGCUGAGCUGUGAUGGGGAGAAGACAUUGUGUCUUCGAGUCGUUGAUUUCACACUGCCGAGAAAAGCCUCUAGAUAGAAAAUAGGUGCCCGUACCGCAAACCGACACAGGUAGUCAAGAUGAGAAUUCUAAGGUGAGCGAGCGAACUCUCGUUAAGGAACUCGGCAAAAUGACCCCGUAACUUCGGGAGAAGGGGUGCUCUUUAGGGUUAACGCCCAGAAGAGCCGCAGUGAAUAGGCCCAAGCGACUGUUUAUCAAAAACACAGGUCUCUGCUAAACCGUAAGGUGAUGUAUAGGGGCUGACGCCUGCCCGGUGCUGGAAGGUUAAGAGGAGUGGUUAGCUUCUGCGAAGCUACGAAUCGAAGCCCCAGUAAACGGCGGCCGUAACUAUAACGGUCCUAAGGUAGCGAAAUUCCUUGUCGGGUAAGUUCCGACCCGCACGAAAGGCGUAACGAUUUGGGCACUGUCUCAACGAGAGACUCGGUGAAAUCAUAGUACCUGUGAAGAUGCAGGUUACCCGCGACAGGACGGAAAGACCCCGUGGAGCUUUACUGUAGCCUGAUAUUGAAAUUCGGCACAGCUUGUACAGGAUAGGUAGGAGCCUUUGAAACGUGAGCGCUAGCUUACGUGGAG